AGAGAAGGGAUAUUGUUCAUCGAAUUAACCUGAGCACAUGAUUGGUGCUUUCUCCCAGAAUUUGUGUUCUUGUUGUUUGUGGUGGAGGUGGUGGUGGUACUAGUAGUAGUAGUUUUUACUUUGGACACAAGACCAGCAAUUUUUGCAAGGAGGGUAUUAGUUGAUAACAUUGACUCUAGCCAGUACUUGACUGCUUACUCCAUUUAAAUGCUUUUAUUUAUUUGUAUUCAUGUUUCAUUUUGUAUAUUUCUGUAUCAGGUAACCAUUUUUGGAAAAUUAUGAUAAGAUCAAGCUGUAUGUAUAUGAUCUAGGAAUAUAAAACUGAUUUUAAUUUUUGAAUCUCUUACAGUUUCAUCAGAUCACUGCUCUCAUUCCAUCUGCAACUUGUCUAUUCACCUUCUUUUGGCAUAUUUCUAAUCGGCCGCCUGAGUAAUUACUGUACCAGCUAAGGGUCUGGUGUGUUUUAUGUACCGUAAGUUGACUGAGCCAGUCACAUAUGGCAACCAUUGUUGAUACGAUGCCAAUCACUUGGGAAUAUCAAAGUAAAAAACAUCAGUGUCUAUUUUACCAAACCUGUGCUCAUUCACAUUGUUGAUUAAGCAUUUUUUGUUUUAAUAAAAAAAUCAUUUAAAUAGAGA
This 638-nucleotide long non-coding RNA is filed under the name Octopus vulgaris (common octopus). Lineage: Eukaryota; Metazoa; Mollusca; Cephalopoda; Octopoda; Octopodidae. The record is from RNAcentral.